Molecule: unclassified non-coding RNA, 903 nt
Filed under: Hevea brasiliensis (rubber tree)
Lineage: Eukaryota; Viridiplantae; Streptophyta; Magnoliopsida; Malpighiales; Euphorbiaceae
Source: RNAcentral
GAGAGAGAGAGAGAGAGAUGUGUGUUUGAAGAUAGAUCACAUUUACAAGUAAACCUACAAAAUCAGAGCAAGACAACAAAGGAACGAAGCAAAGAUAUAACUACACAAGACAAAGGCAUAGGAAUCAACACGUAAAAAAGUAAUGCGAGACAAUUGUGAACGAGAGAAUACAAUGUUAUGUUCAUGAUGUUCAAGGUUACUAGGAGAUUCUGCAAAAUUAAUAUAGGCAGCUGGAUAUAUUCAUAUCUGCAAUAGCAGCUAAAUAACCUGAUUCUAAGGCAAGUUCAAAAAUAAACACUUUCAAAAAUAUAAGUUGAACCCUUCCCAGAACAGUCUCCGAAAUUUGCGGGAAGCCUCCGUGUAGAGACCUUAAAUGUGUUAGGAAUAAGGGAAUGAUUAACAGAUAUCUUCUAUUAAGUGUUAUGUAUUCAGUAUAAUAAUGUUAAGUAUAGAAAAUUUAAAUAUCUUAAUGGAUAUUAAUUGAGUUCUUUCUCCUUUUUCCUUAGAUUUUAAACGUAUAUUAUUAAGUUUUAGUGAUAGGCAAAAUCUUAGUAGCAAUCACUAAUUCCCCAUAAAUGUUAUAUGUGGAGAUUGUAAAUGUAUACUGGUAUAACUACUUGAUAUAGAACGAAAGAACCCAAAAGGUAAGAGACAAAUUCUCAAGAAGACAAACAAAUUCAUAAAAGAGGAAAGGAAACAAAUUCUCAAAUUUUAUUCAUUUUCAAUUAAAAAUAUCAUAAUAAACUCUCUCCAAUAAAAUACCCAAAAGACAUAGGUAUUUAUAGUAUAGUUUUAAUACUACUACUACUACUAAUAGGAGUUGGAAUUCCAAACAAGAAAAUAUUAAGCAAAUUCUAAUUAGGAAUCCAAAACCAACUUAACUUCCUAAAUAAAAUAAAAUAC